CAAUUUUCCAGGCCAAAGGAACACCCCCUGGACCUGAUGGGGCACAGGAACACAAAGGACAUAAACCAAUCAGAACAUACAGACAGUCUGUGACACGCCCAUGUAAAGCACACAAUCCCUCCCCUCUGCUAACGAGAUUAUUAAGUAAAGUUCUGUAAGUAACUCAAUUAUCUCCAGGCAGAAAAACCACAUUUCAGAAAGUACCCCAAAACAUAACAUAUCCCCAUAAUCACAUCCCAUGAUAGCCCUGAUCUGGGUGAACAACAUAUCCAAAAAUCACCCAGAUCAGAGCAGGGGUUCAGGAAAUUCCUGAAAGUCAUAGUUUUGACCGACCACAUGCAUGGCCCCAUGCCCAAAACAGUUCCAG
This is a non-coding RNA of Pelobates cultripes (western spadefoot toad), 367 nucleotides long. NCBI's taxonomy places the organism in Eukaryota, Metazoa, Chordata, Amphibia, Anura, Pelobatidae. The record is from the annotation of a GenBank genome assembly.